UCCUGGCGAAUUAUCAACCUUAUCAAACACAGCAAGUAUAAUGAUAAUAUUAAUAUGGGUCUGGUCUAAUUCUGUUCUUUCAAGUCAUAUACAAGCAUUACUCCAUGAUACAACUGAAGUACGUAGAAAAAGUCAAAAGUGAAAACAAGAUGAAAAUCUAUCACUGGACAAGGUGUCAGACAUCCUUUAUUUAUUCCAAAAGCAACAAAAAAAAAAUAGAAUACAAAAUCUGCACAUGAUGAGUUGUAACUAUGUAUUACACUUCAUGUUUCCAAUCAUUUUCAAUACCAAGGAGAAAUGUUGGUCUACAUCGCAAAUCCAAGCACCUUUAUUGUCUAACAAAAUUCAUAUGCAAAACCAUGAAGAAAGAGAAAAAUAAGACAAUUUUGAAAAAAAAUCAUUAAUUAAACAAGGAAUAACUUAAAGCUCAUACUUACAGAAACACACAACAACAAACUUUUAAAACAUAAUUUAAGUACAUGAAAAAACAAUGAUUUUUAUUCUAAAGAAAACCAAAACCUUGAGUGAUAAACUUUUCUGAUCAGCCUUUCCCCCUUUUCAAUGAGCCACUCAACUCUACUGCACAAAUGUAAGUAAGGAAAGACACAAGAUAAGCAUCAGGAAAAUAAAAGUUAUAAGUACUUGGAUGUAUUCUGGUAAAUGAAAAUGAAAUAAUAAAGCAUGAUGACUUAUAUAAAAUCUCAUCUAAAUACAAGAAUUUCUGAUUUAAAAAAUAACAGGUUCAUUUUUUUUGGUCUUAUUAUAACACAAGGAACAAAAGACUGCAGGCAAGAGAAUGGUUUGCAAGUUUUUGCAUUAUUGAAAAAAAAAGUUAUAUGUGUCCCACAAGAAAGGAAACCUCUUCUUAGAGAUCUAGAUAUCACAAUCAUUGAAUAUGUUUUGCACAUUAAUUAAUAUUAAUAGGAGGAAUAAAAUCUCUUUUUUGAUUUACAUGUAAGAUCAAAUACUUAGUGGAUUGCGUAGUACAAAUAAUGAAAUACUGAGGCAAGUAAGAAAUUAUUUUUCAGAAAGCCACGUGAAUCUAAAUUUAGUCUAAUUUGGGGAUUAGUGAAAGUAAUGUUACAAAGAAUACAAUAGAUAUUUCAAUAAGCCAUCCUUUUCUUACACAAGUCUGUUAUAUCUUUAAGAAAUCUCAACUGAUUUUGGGGGUUGACAUUGAAAUUUAAACUCUGUUUAAGUGACAGUCCCAUAAGCUAUUUUAAAUUCUAAACAUUUGAUACAGAGAGGGAAGUAAUCUACAUUAGCCAAGUGGAAACUGAAAUUCUUUGUGACAAAUACUGUGACAUCUAAUAGAUACAUAAGUAUUCUAUAUACAUCAGUAACUUAGAUUUUUUUCUGACCAAAAAUAUUGCCUCAGAUACUAGCACAAGUUACAAUACUUUACAGAUGAAUUUGAAGCACAUCUGAAGACUAAGAAUGCAAAUGCAAUUUUAAGAGUCAUCCCCCCCCAAAAAAAAAGAUACACAACAAUGUGAAAAGAUUGUUGACUUGUUUCUACAUUUUUGAUGAUUUGCUGAAAAUAAAUUGAGCUAGCAUAAUUUUUUUUGUACAGGUUAAAUAACUACAUAAUGAUUUUCUUCGGGCUAAUAUGGAUAUUAGAAAACAAGGUAUUACCUUAAGGUGUAAACAAUUUCCACAUCAUAAAAAUCAAUUUAAAUAACAUUCAUUUCGUUGUAAAACAUGCAGCAAAUGUCACUUUUGGAAACAUCUAAGGCACAAUUGUAAAAUAUUAAUUCGAUAUACCAUAAACAUAAACUCUUUUUUCAUAUAUUGUAGUACUGUAUCAUCAAUGCACUCAAAAGUGAAAAUCUGGAAGAAAGAACUUAUAAAAAAAUCCUUAUACAUUAAUAUACAUAACAUCUUAUAAUCAUAUGUAAAGCUUGAUUAAAUCUUAAAAGUUGUAAAUAUCAUUAUAGAAAGCAUCUGUAAGAGAAUGUAAUCCAAAUUUAGGAAAUUGAAAUUCAGAAAUUAUUAUUAAAUCUUGCCUCGGGUAGUUUAUGCACUGGCGUAGAUUCAAGAUAUAAACCUGUAUUCAGAGAAGGGUAAGGGGGGGGUGGUCUAUUGCAACAUUCCACGAUUCCCCUCCUCCCACACACACUUGACAAGCAUGGCAUCACAUAUCUACAGCCGUGGAGGGUGGGG
Long non-coding RNA from Lytechinus variegatus (green sea urchin), 2163 nucleotides. RefSeq lists it as uncharacterized. The transcript has 2 exons. NCBI's taxonomy places the organism in Eukaryota, Metazoa, Echinodermata, Echinoidea, Temnopleuroida, Toxopneustidae. The record is from RefSeq and is a predicted model, not a curated record.